This 750-nucleotide ribosomal RNA is filed under the name uncultured bacterium. Its description in RNAcentral is "bacterial SSU rRNA". It matches the Rfam family "Bacterial small subunit ribosomal RNA", at positions 31 to 787 of the family's 1533-position model. The record is from RNAcentral.
GGACAAUAGUACGGUUUUGUCGGCAUAGAUGCAGUCGACGGACUUACUCAUUCUUUUAGAUUGAGAGCGGUUAGUGGCGGACUGGUGAGUAACACGUAAGCAACCUGCCUAUCAGAGGGGAAUAACAGUGAGAAAUCAUUGCUAAUACCGCAUAUGCUCACAGUAUCACAUGAUACAGUGAGGAAAGGAGUAAUCCGCUGAUAGAUGGGCUUGCGUCUGAUUAGUUAGUUGGUGGGGUAACGGCCUACCAAGACUACGAUCAGUAGCCGGACUGAGAGGUUGAACGGCCACAUUGGGACUGAGAUACGGCCCAGACUCCUACGGGAGGCAGCAGUCGGGAAUAUUGCGCAAUGGAGGAAACUCUGACGCAGUGACGCCGCGUAUAGGAAGAAGGUUUUCGGAUUGUAAACUAUUGUCAUUAGGGAAGAUAAAAGACUGUACCUAAGGAGGAAGCCCCGGCUAACUAUGUGCCAGCAGCCGCGGUAAUACAUAGGGGGCAAGCGUUAUCCGGAAUUAUUGGGUGCAAAGGGUGCGUAGACGGAAGAACAAGUUGGUUGUGAAAUCCCUCGGCUCAACUGAGGAACUGCAACCAAAACUAUUCUCCUUGAGUGUCGGAGAGGAAAGUGGAAUUCCUAGUGUAGCGGUGAAAUGCGUAGAUAUUAGGAGGAACACCAGUGGCGAAGGCGACUUUCUGGACGAUAACUGACGUUGAGGCACGAAAGUGUGGGGAGCAAACAGGAUUAGAUACCC